UACAGGGGUCCCAAGCGUUGUUCGGAUUCAUUGGGCGUAAAGGGUGCGUAGGUGGCGCCGUCAGUGGGGUGUGAAAUUUCGGAGCUUAACUCCGAAACUGCAUUCCAUACUGCGGUGCUUGAGGACUGGAGAGGAGACUGGAAUUCAUGGUGUAGCAGUGAAAUGCGUAGAGAUCAUGAGGAAGACCAGUGGCGAAGGCGGGUCUCUGGACAGUUCCUGACACUGAGGCACGAAGGCUAGGGUAGCGAAAGGG
Molecule: ribosomal RNA, 253 nt
Filed under: uncultured bacterium
Lineage: Bacteria
Description: partial 16S ribosomal RNA
Rfam family: Bacterial small subunit ribosomal RNA
Source: RNAcentral